Molecule: ribosomal RNA, 254 nt
Filed under: uncultured bacterium
Lineage: Bacteria
Description: partial 16S ribosomal RNA
Rfam family: Bacterial small subunit ribosomal RNA
Source: RNAcentral
GACGUAGGGGGCGAGCGUUAUCCGGAUUCACUGGGCGUAAAGGGCGCGUAGGCGGUUACGUAAGUCCGAUGUGAAAAGUCACGGCUCAACCGUGAUCGUGCAUCGGAUACUUCGUUGACUUGAGGUCGGUAGAGGCAAGUGGAACUAGCGGUGUAGCGGUGAAAUGCGCAGAUAUCGCUAGGAACGCCGGUGGCGAAGGCGACUUGCUGGGCCGUACCUGACGCUGAGGCGCGAAAGCUAGGGGAGCGAACCGG